RNAcentral lists this ribosomal RNA (372 nucleotides) under uncultured organism. RNAcentral describes it as "bacterial SSU rRNA". It matches the Rfam family "Bacterial small subunit ribosomal RNA", at positions 526 to 896 of the family's 1533-position model. The record is from RNAcentral.
CAGAGGCCUCGAGCGUUAGGCGGAAUCACUGGGCUUAAAGCGUGUGUAGGUGGAUGCCUAAGUGCCUUGUGAAAUCCCACGGCUUAACCGUGGAAUUGCUGGGCAUACUGGGUGUCUUGAGCCACUCAGGGGCUACCGGAACAAAUGGUGGAGCGGUGAAAUGCGUAGAUAUCAUUUGGAACGCCAAUGGUGAAAACAGGUAGCUGGGGGUGUGCUGACACUGAGACACGAAAGCCAGGGGAGCAAACGGGAUUAGAUACCCCGGUAGUCCUGGCCCUAAACGAUGUCCACUAGAUCGUGGCGGUUCUAACGCCGUCAUGGUCGAAGCAAAAGUGCUAAGUGGACCGCCUGGGAAGUACGGUCGCAAGGCUA